UCUCCUGUAGCUCAGUGGUAGAGCGUCCGACCGGUGUUGCGGAAGGUCAUAUAGGUUCGACUCCUGUUGGGGGAA
RNAcentral lists this transfer RNA (75 nucleotides) under Desmophyllum pertusum. Its description in RNAcentral is "Lophelia pertusa tRNA". It matches the Rfam family "tRNA". Rfam says of the family: Transfer RNA (tRNA) molecules are approximately 80 nucleotides in length. The record is from Rfam by way of RNAcentral. Lineage: Eukaryota; Metazoa; Cnidaria; Anthozoa; Scleractinia; Caryophylliidae.